GAUGAACGCUGGCGGCGUGCCUAAUACAUGCAAGUCGAGCGAACGGACGAGAAGCUUGCUUCUCUGAUGUUAGCGGCGGACGGGUGAGUAACACGUGGAUAACCUACCUAUAAGACUGGGAUAACUUCGGGAAACCGGAGCUAAUACCGGAUAAUAUUUUGAACCGCAUGGUUCAGAAGUGAAAGACGGUCUUGCUGUCACUUAUAGAUGGAUCCGCGCUGCAUUAGCUAGUUGGUAAGGGAACGGGUUACCGAGGCAACGAUGCAUAGCCGACCUGAGAGGGUGGUCGCCCACACUGGAACUGAGACACGGUCCAGACUCCUACGGGAGGCAGCAGUAGGGAAUCUUCCGCAAUGGGGGAAAGCCUGACGGAGCAACGCCGCGUGAGUGAUGAAGGUCUUCGGAUCGUAAAACUCUGUUAUUAGGGAAGAACAUAUGUGUAAGUAGCUGUGCACAUAUUGACGGUACCUAAUCAGAAAGCCACGGCUAACUACGUG
RNAcentral lists this ribosomal RNA (497 nucleotides) under uncultured bacterium. Its description in RNAcentral is "partial 16S ribosomal RNA". It matches the Rfam family "Bacterial small subunit ribosomal RNA", at positions 28 to 507 of the family's 1533-position model. The record is from RNAcentral.